RNAcentral lists this unclassified non-coding RNA (346 nucleotides) under soil metagenome. RNAcentral describes it as "partial contains 5.8S ribosomal RNA, internal transcribed spacer 2, and large subunit ribosomal RNA". The stretch from base 1 to 120 matches the Rfam family "5.8S ribosomal RNA", at positions 35 to 154 of the family's 154-position model. The record is from RNAcentral.
GAUGAAGAACGCAGCAAAAUGCGAUAAGUAAUGUGAAUUGCAGAAUUCAGUGAAUCAUCGAAUCUUUGAACGCACAUUGCGCCCGCCAGUAUUCUGGCGGGCAUGCCUGUUCGAGCGUCAUUUCAACCCUCAAGCCCUCGGGCUUGGUGUUGGGGAUCGGCGAGCCUUUCUGGCAAGCCGGCCCCGAAAUCUAGUGGCGGUCUCGCUGCAGCCUCCAUUGCGUAGUAGUAAAACCCUCGCAACUGGAACGCGGCGCGGCCAAGCCGUUAAACCCCCAACUUCUGAAUGUUGACCUCGGAUCAGGUAGGAAUACCCGCUGAACUUAAGCAUAUCAAUAAGCGGAGGA